AGAGCCAGAUCAUGGCUCAGGAUGAACGCUGGCGGUAUGCCUAACACAUGCAAGUCGUACGAGAGUUUUUAACUCAAGUGGCGGACGGGUGAGUAACACGUGAGAAUUUGCCUUUAGGAGGGGGAUAACAGAGUGAAAACGCUGCUAAUACCCCAUAUGCUUUCGAGUGAAAUGGAUUUAUUCGCCUAAAGAGAAGCUCGCGGCUGAUUAGCUUGUUGGUAAGGUAAUGGCUUACCAAGGCGACGAUCAGUAUCUGGUUUGAGAGGACGAUCAGACACACUGGAACUGAGACACGGUCCAGACUCCUACGGGAGGCAGCAGUGGGGAAUUUUCCGCAAUGGGCGAAAGCCUGACGGAGCAAUACCGCGUGAGGGAUGACGGCCUAUGGGUUGUAAACCUCUUUUCUCAGGGAGGAAAUCAAUGACGUUACCUGAGGAAUAAGCAUCGGCUAACUCCGUGCCAGCAGCCGCGGUAAGACGGAGGAUGCAAGUGUUAUCCGGAAUCACUGGGCGUAAAGCGUCUGUAGGUGGCUUAACAAGUCAACUGUUAAAUCUUGAAGCUCAACUUCGAAAUCGCAGUCGAAACUGUUAGGCUAGAGUAUAGUAGGGGUAAAGGGAAUUUCCAGUGGAGCGGUGAAAUGCGUAGAGAUUGGAAAGAACACCGAUGGCGAAGGCACUUUACUGGGCUAUUACUGACACUCAGAGACGAAAGCUAGGGUAGCAAAUGGGAUUAGAUACCCCAGUAGUCCUAGCCGUAAACAAUGGAUACUAGAUGUUGGGCAGAUCGACCUGUUCAGUAUUAAAGCUAACGCGUUAAGUAUCCCGCCUGGGAAGUAUGCGCGCAAGCGUGAAACUCAAAGGAAUUGACGGGGGCCCGCACAAGCGGUGGAGCAUGUGGUUUAAUUCGAUGCAACGCGAAGAACCUUACCAGGGUUUGACAUGAUACGAAUUUUUUUGAAAGAAAAAAGUGCCGUUUGGAACGUAUACACAGGUGGUGCAUGGCUGUCGUCAGCUCCUGUCCUGAGAAGUUUGGGUUAAAUCCCCCCACCAAGCCGCACCCCUUAUUUUUAUUUGCCUUUUUUUGGAACU
Molecule: ribosomal RNA, 1088 nt
Filed under: uncultured bacterium
Lineage: Bacteria
Description: bacterial SSU rRNA
Rfam family: Bacterial small subunit ribosomal RNA
Source: RNAcentral